GAUGAACGCUGGCGGCGUGCCUAAUACAUGCAAGUCGAGCGAACAGAUGAGGAGCUUGCUCCUCUGCCGUUAGCUGCGGAAGGGUGAGUAACACGUGGAUAACCUACCUAUAAGACUGGGAUAACUUCGGGAAACCGGCGCUAAUACCGGAUAAUAUAUUGAACCGCAUGGUUCAAUAGUGAAAGACGGUUUUGCUGUCACUUAUAGAUGGAUCCGCGCCGCAUUAGCUAGUUGGUAAGGUAACGGCUUACCAAGGCAACGAUGCGUAGCCGACCUGAGAGGGUGAUCGGGCACACGGGAACUGAGACACGGUCCAGAAUCCUAAGGGAGGCAGCAGGAGGGAAUGUUGCGAAAUGGGCGAAAGCCUGAAGGAGAAACGCAGCGUGAGUGAUGAAGGUCUUCGGAACGUAAAACUCUGUGAAUAGGGAAGAACAAAUGUGUAAGUAACUAUGCACGUCUUGACGGUACCUAAUCAGAAAGCCACGGCUAACUACGUG
This 497-nucleotide ribosomal RNA is filed under the name uncultured bacterium. Its description in RNAcentral is "partial 16S ribosomal RNA". It matches the Rfam family "Bacterial small subunit ribosomal RNA", at positions 28 to 507 of the family's 1533-position model. The record is from RNAcentral.